GAAGUAAAAGUCGUAACAAGGUCUCCGUUGGUGAACCAGCGGAGGGAUCAUUACAGAGUUAUACAACUCCCAUACCAUCUGUUAACCUACCCAGUUAUGCCUCGGCGUAAGCUCGGUUGGAGGCACCUGCAGCUACCCUGUAGUUGCGGACUGCCAACUCCAGCCGCGGCCCGCCGGCGGUACACUAAACUCUGUUUUAUUUUAUAUUCUGAGCGUCUUAUUUUAAUAAGUUAAAACUUUCAACAACGGAUCUCUUGGUUCUGGCAUCGAUGAAGAACGCAGCGAAAUGCGAUAAGUAAUGUGAAUUGCAGAAUUCAGUGAAUCAUCGAAUCUUUGAACGCACAUUGCGCCCAUCAGUAUUCUGGUGGGCAUGCCUGUUCGAGCGUCAUUUCAACCCUUAAGCCUAGCUUAGUGUUGGGAAUCUGCUGUACUGCAGUUCCUUAAAGACAGUGGCGGAGCGGCGGUAGUCCUCUGAGCGUAGUAAUUUAUUUCUCGCUUUUGUCAGGCUCUGUUCCUCCCGCCAUAAAACCCCCAAUUUUUUAGUGGUUGACCUCGGAUCAGGUAGGAAUACCCGCUGAACUUA
This 583-nucleotide ribosomal RNA is filed under the name Apiospora arundinis. RNAcentral's name for it is "eukaryotic LSU rRNA". The stretch from base 235 to 388 matches the Rfam family "5.8S ribosomal RNA". The record is from RNAcentral. Lineage: Eukaryota; Fungi; Ascomycota; Sordariomycetes; Amphisphaeriales; Apiosporaceae.